UCGGAUUUAGCUCCCAACAGUAAUUCACUGUUCACUUUCUAUUUUCUGAUUUUGUCUCCUGAAAAGCCUGAGAUGGUAUCUGCGCUUGAUAAGAGCAACACUCAGGUUUAUUUAUAACAAUUUAUCUUUAUUCAUGUUGAAAUCGUGCACAGAGUCAUGGUUUUCAUGUUUUACAGAUCAUUUCCCAGCUUUGUCGCGCAACCCAUAUUUGAUUCACAAAACCUUACUCACAACAAAAAGGCAGACAGAUCUUUACACAGUGGGGACCUUGUUGCGCAAUUUUUGCUGGCAGCCUGAAGGUUUUUUUUUUUUUUCUCUCUUUUCUAGAGAAGUCAUGUUUUGUUAAGGCCUGUUAGUUUUAUGGCAGCCUGCAUUUCUCUUUUUGUCUCCAAGUUCAAUUGCAUGAUCACUACCAAACCAAAAGGCACACUUUGUACUCUGACUUCUACAUGCUGCAAUAAACUUACACACAUCAAAAGCAUUCAUCAAAAAAAUCCCCCCACCCCCCUUAAAAAAAACAGUUUUAAUUCACUUUGUUUAGAAAAUUAUAUACAAAAUGUGUACUUUUAACACAAGGAACGUGUUCUGUGUUCAGUAGUGCUUUUUACAGAAUAGCUGCUACAAGAUAUCACAGCAGACAAUGGGCUACAAAAAAGUGCCCAAACAGAGAGAUCCAUUUGGACCAUAAAUCCACAUCAGUGAAAAUUCCAUGUCCUUGCAGACAGUUGAGGAACAUGUCCAAAAACUACAACAUGACGAUCUUCUCAUGAGCCAAUGUUUUUAGUCACGGGCCGCCCUCUCCAGUUGUUUGAAGAAAUGUCCCUCUCUGUCUGUUGGUUCAGCUCCUGUAAGUAGUGAUGGUCCUGCACGUGCAUGAGACCACCAACGGAGUCCGCUAUUUCAUAAAGGACUGCAAGGACAGAAAGUGCUGUUCCAAAGAAAUACAUUUUCAGGAUGGCCGCCACCAUGGUUUGUGUGAGGAAGAGCUGCCUGCAAAAGGAGAAGUAAAUAUUCAGAUUUUGAUGACAGACAAACAUUAAUUCUACAGCAGGGUGGCCAUAUUUUGAUUUCCCAAAAAAAGAGGACACUUUUUUUGGAAAGUCAUGAAGAACUUUAAUAACUUUAAUAAUACUGUUUGCUUAAAGAAAACUUUAACAUAUUUAAACGAAGCCUUCUCUGUGCGGUUAAUGAAUGGUGAAAUAAAAAAUGUCAUAUAGGUUUUUACAAGUCUACAAGUGCAAAAAAGGAGAGUUGGUCAUCCUAUUCUACAGCAGAUUCAAAAAAAAUGUGAAAAAAAAAAUCAGGUAAAAGAUUUGUAAGAAAAGUUGAGGCAAAAAAACCUAAACAAAAACAUGCAUUGAUCUAUGCAUUUUUGACAAAUAGCUUGUCACCAGCCUACAGAUUUUUGAAGCCAAGCAGGUAGCUGAAUUUUGAAACAGUUCAUGUGCAUUUUGAUCAGUGGUUAUGCCUCGAUAGGGUUAGAUGACUGCAGUACAAAAUUCACCACAAGACACAGUAAACAAGUAAAGUGUUCUGUUUUAGAAAGAAAUGAUCUAGGAAGGAAGCUUGAGUCACCGGCAUACAUCAACAGGAAGGUAAUUCGUGCUGCGUUUGCAAACUUCUGGAAGAAUCAACUUUACCCUGGGGAAUAAUCUGAAGUCCUUACGUCUCUACACAUUUUCGACGAUGCAGCUGUUACUUUCAAUGCGGAUGUAAUAGUUUCAGUUAUUCACUGUGCUCAAAUUUACUUAAAAGCUGCGAUAAAUAAAAAGUAAGGGACGACUCUGAAGGCAACAGUCAGAAAGCGAAAGACACAUGGCUUUCAAUGCGAUAAAACGCAGACAUUAAACGCUGCUUGUCGGUACUUUAACCGAAAGGCUCUUAAAGACUGGGACAUGGUUUCUAAUGGCACAUUAACAUACCAGACUAUCCACCGAUCUGUAAACUGUUGUUCUCUCUCGUUUCUCGAAGCUGUGCAGGCUUUGUUUCUCCACCGGUCACGACACGGCACGGCACGGCACAGAUUAGCAAAGAAACCAGUUAAGUUGUUUGGUUAUUUUGUCCGUUUGUUAGUUCACACGGUGUUUCUUCGUGCGAGGUGAGGAACUCUUCAUCCAACCAGCUGCUCUGCCCGCAAGGUCUGCCUCUGACUCUUCCACUCGCACUCUCUGCUGUGGUAUGAUAGACGACGUCACGAAGGAGAGUUCUGGGUUUUCCAGGCUGUUGAUUAAUUUCCUGUUUUAACAGCAUUCAAAUCACUUUCGGUCUAAUUGUUGUGUCAAUAGUCAGUUAACGACUGCCACAUUAUCUGAUAAGGAUAUGGGAAAUUUGUAAACGAUUUCUAGUGAAAAAAAUGACAGUUAAGUGUGUGGACUGUGGUUAAGUUCGUUAAAUCUAAAUUCUUUUUUUUUCUUUUUUUUUUAAAUGACCAGCAAUUGUUAACUAUUCUUGACUAUAUUGAGGUUUUGCAAAAAUGUGCCAUUUUGGAAUCGUGACACUCGGGCUUAGAGACCAGGCAAGCCGGUUGUGAGGGAAAAUGAAGAUUCCACAACUAGUUUCCAGUAGUUGCUGGGAGGAUUGAUAAAGCUCGAGUCACGCAGCCCCACUUUCAGUGAC
Molecule: long non-coding RNA, 2616 nt
Organism: Oreochromis aureus
Lineage: Eukaryota; Metazoa; Chordata; Actinopteri; Cichliformes; Cichlidae
Source: Ensembl